AUGUUCCUCCACCACCUCUUGCUGCAAAACAUGGCCAAGAACACACACCAACCAAGAUCGAAAGACGGCAGAGCGAGAGGCCUGUCCAAGAAGUCGCCGUGGUACCAGCGCGCGGUGGAGCUGCUGCUCCUCAUCUGGAAGCAGCCGGCGGGGGCGCCGACGACGACGAAGGCGGCCGCGGCGGCGGGGGUGUCGGCCACCGGCAAGGCUGCGGCGGCGGCGGCGCCGGCCGGGCCGGGGAGGCUGCGCAAGUCGUCGUCGCUGAACGUGGCGGCGUCGUUCACGCGCGUCUGCCUCUGCGCGCCCAUCUCCUCCUACAACGAGCCGUCGCUCUACUUCCAGCCGGGCGACGUGGCGCCGCGCCGCAGCUACAGCUACCCGCGCGCGUCGUCGGCGUCGGCGUCCGGGUGCGGCGCGAACGCCAACGCCAGCCCGCUGGUGGCCCCGCCGCCGGGCGCCGAGCCGCACCGCGGGGCGUCGGGUGGCGGGGAGGCCGCGCGGCGGCCGGUGUUCCGCGGCAAGUCGCUGACGGACGACCACCUGAUGCGGCGGUUCGUGGUGGACGAGGGCGCCACGCGGCGGCGGAACCAGAUGGAGGUGAUCCGGCGGCGGCACGCCACGGCGGCCAAGCGCCGGCGCCUGGGCCCCAGCCCGCUCCGCCGGAUGGUGCUGGCGGAGUCGGAGUCGGAGGGCGACGACGAGGCGGUGGCGGAGACGCAACAGCGGGAGCGGAAGCGGGCGUCGGUAGCGUAG
This 753-nucleotide ribosomal RNA is filed under the name Triticum aestivum (bread wheat). Its description in RNAcentral is "partial small subunit ribosomal RNA". The record is from RNAcentral. Lineage: Eukaryota; Viridiplantae; Streptophyta; Magnoliopsida; Poales; Poaceae.